UGAGAAGCUUCGACUAAGGUUCGACUCGAGCGCCAGCGAGAGAGCGUUGCCGCAGGCAACGACCCGAAGGGCGAAGCGCGCAGCGCUGAGUAAUCCUUCCCCCACCACCA
Molecule: small RNA, 110 nt
Filed under: Escherichia coli
Lineage: Bacteria; Pseudomonadati; Pseudomonadota; Gammaproteobacteria; Enterobacterales; Enterobacteriaceae
Description: partial RtT sRNA
Rfam family: RtT RNA
About the family: This family represents a bacterial cis-regulatory element known as RtT RNA. The exact function of RtT is unknown although it is thought that it may be involved in changing the cellular response in relation to amino acid starvation.
Source: RNAcentral